GUACCCUGGUAGUCUACGCUGUAAACGAUGUCGACUUGGAGGUUGUGCCCUUGAGGCGUGGCUUCCGGAGCUAACGCGUUAAGUCGACCGCCUGGGGAGUACGGCCGCAAGGUUAAAACUCAAAUGAAUUGACGGGGGCCCGCACAAGCGGUGGAGCAUGUGGUUUAAUUCGAUGCAACGCGAAGAACCUUACCUACUCUUGACAUCCACGGAAUUCGCCAGAGAUGGCUUAGUGCCUUCGGGAACCGUGAGACAGGUGCUGCAUGGCUGUCGUCAGCUCGUGUUGUGAAAUGUUGGGUUAAGUCCCGCAACGAGCGCAACCCUUAUCCUUUGUUGCCAGCACGUAAUGGUGGGAACUCAAAGGAGACUGCCGGUGAUAAACCGGAGGAAGGUGGGGAUGACGUCAAGUCAUCAUGGCCCUUACGAGUAGGGCUACACACGUGCUACAAUGGCAUAUACAAAGAGAAGCGAACUCGCGAGAGCAAGCGGACCUCAUAAAGUAUGUCGUAGUCCGGAUUGGAGUCUGCAACUCGACUCCAUGAAGUCGGAAUCGCUAGUAAUCGUAGAUCAGAAUGCUACGGUGAAUACGUUCCCGGGCCUUGUACACACCGCCCGUCACACCAUGGGAGUGGGUUGCAAAAGAAGUAGGUAGCUUAACCUUCU
RNAcentral lists this ribosomal RNA (663 nucleotides) under bacterium LB-14. Its description in RNAcentral is "bacterial SSU rRNA". It matches the Rfam family "Bacterial small subunit ribosomal RNA", at positions 782 to 1444 of the family's 1533-position model. The record is from RNAcentral.